GAUGAACGCUGGCGGCGUGCCUAAUACAUGCAAGUCGAGCGAACGGACGAGAAGCUUGCUUCUCUGAUGUUAGCGGCGGACGGGUGAGUAACACGUGGAUAACCUACCUAUAAGACUGGGAUAACUUCGGGAAACCGUAGCUAAUACCGGAUAAUAUUUUGAACCGCAUGGUUCAAAAGUGAAAGACGGUCUUGCUGUCACUUAUAGAUGGAUCCGCGCUGCAUUAGCUAGUUGGUAAGGUAACGGCUUACCAAGGCAACGAUGCAUAGCCGACCGGAGAGGGUGAUCGGCCACACUGGAACUAAGACAAGGUCCAGACUCCUACGGGAGGCACCAGUAGGGAAUCGUCCGCAAUGGGCGAAAACCUGACGGAGCAACGCCGCGUGAGUGAUGAAGGUCUUCGGAUCGUAAAACUCUGUUAUUAGGGAAGAACAUAUGUGUAAGUAACUGUGCACAUCUUGACGGUACCUAAUCAGAAGGCCACGGCUAAAUACGUG
This 497-nucleotide ribosomal RNA is filed under the name uncultured bacterium. RNAcentral describes it as "partial 16S ribosomal RNA". It matches the Rfam family "Bacterial small subunit ribosomal RNA", at positions 28 to 507 of the family's 1533-position model. The record is from RNAcentral.